RNAcentral lists this long non-coding RNA (1524 nucleotides) under Sarcophilus harrisii (Tasmanian devil). RNAcentral describes it as "lncRNA (ENSSHAG00000023913.1)". Lineage: Eukaryota; Metazoa; Chordata; Mammalia; Dasyuromorphia; Dasyuridae. The record is from RNAcentral.
GAAAUGUUUUGCAUGACUUCACAUGUAUAAUGAAUAUCGUUAUUGCCUGCCUUCUCAAGAAGCUGGGGAAAGAUGGGAGGAAUGGAGAGUUGCCUUUGCGUAGCUGUCUCGAUUCCUGGAAUAUACUCUUUUCAUUUCCAUUGCCUAAAUUGUGGCAAGAUUCAGGCCAUCUGCAACUUCCUCCAGGAAGCAAUUCCUGAUUCCCCUAGUGGUUUGGGGCCCCUGAACCCCCUUCAAAUGAUCAGGUUGGGCUUAAUGAUGUUUGUGGGGUUGGACUAGAUUGGAAUUGGAUAACUGUUGAACCACCCGAGUGCUGCACGAAUACCCAAGAAUUACUGCAAAAUCCAGAGGCCUCCAAUAUGCUGAGUAGAUCUUCCAUGUAGUGGACAUAGAUAAAAUUCACAGGUCCUUCUGAUGUACAAGAGGCAGUACAGCUCAAUGAGAAUUGGAUUCAAGAGCCAGAGGACUUGGGGUCCCAUCCCAGUUCUGCCACUUGAUCAUGUAGAUCUGAUCAAGUGCCUUUCCAUGCUCAGUUUCCUACUCUAUAUAACACUAAUACUUGCCCUACCUAUCUCACAGGAGCUUUGUGAAGAUCAAAGACAAUGAAAUUAGGAAACACUACCCCAGCCUUCCCCAUCAUCACCCUCACCACCUGAUUUCUCUUGUCCCCUCUACUCACUCUUUUGAUCAAUAAUGGGACAGAGAGAGGACCUAGGAUUUCAGUGACAAAAAUGAACUCCCAGAGAGAAAAUUCCCUUUACCCUUGUAAGAUAGCAUCUUCUCAGCACUUGGAAGUAAAGUGACUUAUCCUCCUAGAACAAUCAAGGCUGAGAUGCAGGGGGGUGUGACUAAGAAGGGUUCCACAUUAGAAUUAUUCCUACACCAAAGCCCUUUUCUGAACAUACUGAUUUCUGAAAAUACAAAUAUUUAUAGAAAAUUUAGAGCUCUGCAUGUUACAUGAAAAACUUCAUCUGACCCUAUUAACAAUCAAUUCUCUAAAGCAGGUUAUAGGUGAUAUCUCUCCAUUUUACAGAUGAGUAAACCAAGGGUCAGAGUGUUUAAGUACAUUGUCACAUAAUUAGUAAGUAUCGGAGUAAGGAUAUGAACUCAGAUCUUUCUGAUUUUAAGUCUAAUCUCACUCCAGAACACCAAGAUCAGAGCCAAUGGGAUUGGAGAACAAUGAAUCUUUGCAUUUGUAAUGGGCUGAAAAGAGUACCUGAGAUUGAAUUCAAGAGCCAGUACGUGGAGGAAAUUGAAGCUCACAGAAAGGAAAUUACUCGCUCAAGGACAGACUCGUAGAAGAAGAAGAAGAAGAAGCCAUGUUAUUUCUACUCACUACAAUCCAGCUGGGCUUUAAAGGCCCAGAAGAAAUUCAACAAGCAAAAAGAGAAAGGGAUAGCAUUCCAGGUUUGCAUCCAUGAUGAACCUAAAUAAAUCUCAGAAUCUCAGAGACAAACUAAAUGAAAAAGAAAACUAGUUGGAAAACUUCAGAACUUUGGCCAAUAUGAUGAUAAAUCAUCUUGC